Molecule: small RNA, 51 nt
Filed under: Arabidopsis thaliana (thale cress)
Lineage: Eukaryota; Viridiplantae; Streptophyta; Magnoliopsida; Brassicales; Brassicaceae
Description: ATSL032090
Source: RNAcentral
UUUUCGGAAGUCUUUUGUGUAUCUUCUUUAUCCUUGUAAAUUAUAUCCCUA